AUUGAACGCUGGCGGCAGGCUUUACACAUGCAAGUCGAGCGAGCGGCGGACGGGUGAGUAAUGUCUCGGAAACUGCCCGGUAGAGGGGGAUCACUACUGGAAAGGGUGGCUAAUACCGCAUACCAUCAGAUGUGCCCAGAUGGGAUUAGCUAGUAGGUGGGGUAAUGGCUCACCUAGGUGACGAUCCCUAGCUGGUCUGAGAGGAUGACCAGCCACACUGGAACUGAGACACGGUCCAGACUCCUACGGGAGGCAGCAGUGGGGAAUAUUGCACAAUGGGCGAAAGCCUGAUGCAGCCAUGCCGCGUGUGUGAAGAAGGCCUUCGGGUUGUAAAGCACUUUCAGCGAGGAGGCGUUACUCGCAGAAGAAGCACCGGCUAACUCCGUGCCAGCAGCCGCGGUAAUAC
RNAcentral lists this ribosomal RNA (406 nucleotides) under uncultured bacterium. RNAcentral describes it as "partial 16S ribosomal RNA". It matches the Rfam family "Bacterial small subunit ribosomal RNA", at positions 30 to 526 of the family's 1533-position model. The record is from RNAcentral.